CUGGUUAAUCCUGGGUGUGCUUUGUCAUGAUCAUGUCAGCCUUUAAAAAUCACUACUGACCUGCAGAUCUCAAACACUGACGCUGAAACUGCUCCUGAGAAAAAGACAACCAGAAUUGGGAAAGAUCAGGUUUUUAACAGUAGCUUGUUGCAGUUUUGAUCGUCUUCAAAUGGAUAAAGUUGUGAAAUUUUGGCUUUAAAAAUUGUGCUGUUACUGAGGUCAAAUAUCUGUGAAGUCACACUUUGUAACGCAUUUUUACUGUUUGAAUAAUUCUCUGCUGAAUCUGUAACAUUAUGUUCUGUGUUGUUCACUUCAAUCCAAUAAAAGCAAGUGUGU
This is a long non-coding RNA of Sphaeramia orbicularis (orbiculate cardinalfish), 336 nucleotides long. RefSeq lists it as uncharacterized. NCBI's taxonomy places the organism in Eukaryota, Metazoa, Chordata, Actinopteri, Kurtiformes, Apogonidae. The record is from RefSeq and is a predicted model, not a curated record. The transcript is spliced from 3 exons.